RNAcentral lists this long non-coding RNA (3943 nucleotides) under Gossypium barbadense (sea-island cotton). RNAcentral describes it as "long non-coding RNA (GBAR_LNC018876)". Lineage: Eukaryota; Viridiplantae; Streptophyta; Magnoliopsida; Malvales; Malvaceae. The record is from RNAcentral.
GAUAAGAAAGUUUAGAAAUACGGAGAGCAAUUCCUUUUCAGAAUUAAUCAUUUUGAUUACAUUUCCAAAAAAAAGUGAAAGGGCCAAAGCACAGAGAGAUGGCCUUUAUUGCAAUACACAUUUACAUACAUAGAUCAAUACAUACACAUAUAUGUGUAUGUAUAGCUCUAAUUAUUCCGUUUAUCACAUUGGGGUAGUGGAAACUUAAACCAAGCAAAAGUGACCCUUGGGAAGCUUGCACUUUUGUUUUUAUGGAAUAGCAGUGAAGUUGAAAUUAUUGCAAGAAGUCUUGUAGAACAACAGGGAAGAACUGAAACCAAGCCUUGAUCUUGCCAUAUCAAACUGUACCAGAUUAUUCUCCAUUUGGUAAGCCCCAAUAAUAAUCGAAGCUCCAUUGUUCUUCAUUCCUCCAUCCACAAAAGCUAAGCAAGACACUCCUGGUGCAGCUUCAACAAGGGAGUUUGCUCCAUAAAUCCUCCACAUAACAUGCUUGUCAUGGAGCACAAGGUCGAUGUUAGGAACCCCUGGUCCAACCCUGCUGUUUUUGAAUCUUUUCGAGUUGAAACAGGCACCGAAUGGCGCAACUGGUUUUACUUGGGGAAUAGCAGAGAGCUCCUUGGAGAAAAUUUGUGUGACAGCUUUAAAGAUUGAGUGGUGUAGAAUGGUGUAAGGGUUGAUUGUGCUGAGCUUCGUGCCUCCGACGCCUUGUUUAUUGAUCGAUAACAGCGCUGUGUCUAUCGGGACAUCCUUGUCGUUUAUCUUGAUUGAUUUAACUUCCAUGUAGUACUCUCCUAGGGGACUGAUGAUAAGUGGAGUGUAGCUUAAUGGUCGUGUUAUAUCAACAUUAGGCAGCAUAUAAUAAGGGCUGUCCCCAAAGAACAUGACACCUUUAGGGGCUAAACAAAGGGCAAACGUUGGGGCAAAACCAGCAGACCCAAAGUGUGAGGCCAGUUGAGUUGGUAGAGAAAUGGGGGAAUGUCCCAAUCCAGCCACCCCUUGAACAGUACUUGGUAACCCUCUUUGCAGUAAAAGGGAAGGUGCACAAGUGAACAAGAACUGAGGGACCCUAACCAUUGGACCAGGGUUAGACCCUUGAGUGGAUUGAAUUGAUAGCACAUCUUGUGCAAGAUCACUCAUGGCGGUAAGGCCUGUCACAGGGUUCAUUGACAUGACCCCACAUGUGUUGUUAUGGCACCCUGGUCCAUCCCUGGUGGAGCAUAUGUGGCAAUAGUGACUGUCAGCUCUAGAGCAUUGAGUCGAGCGGCACCUAGGGGCAUGGUAGGUGGACGAACAGUAACUUUUCUCACAAGUAACCCAUAGUAACCUUCCAUUCAAGUCCACAACAAAUGGGACUUUCUGUGAAGGAGUUCUCUUGUAUAUGUUAGUCACAUAAAGUUUAGUUUUCGGAUCUUUUUGCAGCUGCAAAACGAACCUGUUCGGUUUCGAAGUCUUUUGAGAUUCAGAUAAAAGGAUGAAAGAAGAAACGGAAAGGAAAAUGAGAAGGAAAAGAAGGAAAGAAGAAGCCAUGAAAGCUCAAUGCCUGCACAGUGAUGCAAGAAGAGGGUAAGCGGUGAGGAAAUAAAGGGGGAAAAUGGAGUUACUUAUAGGCAAAUUGAGUUCUUAAAAUCUAGUCAUAUUUUUGGGUGAUCCAAGCAUUGUUCAUGUGAAAGUUUUAGGCAUUAUAUGCAUUUGGCAAGCAGAAGAUGAAAGUUAGGCAGGCUAAAGUUAGGAAAAUUCAGGCUAAAAGAUGGACCCCAAAGCAAAGGAACAAAAUUGAAUUGGAAAGUGUGGAAGGCACUUGGCAAUGGCUUAGAGCUUCUACAGCCGUGCCAUCAACACAUACAAGGACUUCAUGGGUUUGGCUUGGCUUGGACUGAACUGGAAUUUGAUAAAUUUCAUCUUUAAUUUCUCAAGCAUGUUAAUUUCUAACAUAUGGACAAAUAUGACCUUAUGGUAGAUAGAAGUUUGUACGUAAGGGAACCCUACUGGGAUUUCUGGGAUUUCUCAAUCAAGUCAUGUGAAACAUUAUUACAAUAGCAUUUAUUGACUUGUACUAGCUGCAAACUUGUCCAUCAUUCUAAAAAGCUAAGAGUUUUAGAUAAUCAUAAAGAACCCCAGAACGGACUCAGCGUAACAAUGCCAAUGGAAAUACAUAACCUUACUAGUAACAAGAACACACCGAAAUUCACCCCUAGCGCAUCAUCAUCAAAAUCAAUAUCAUGACUAGAUCUACUGUAUCUUCCAUCAGCUUGUGUAUACGCAUAUAUCAAGCACAAGUCACUGAAAUUCGUCAAAGUUCUAUUCCUGUAUACCUGUGCAUCCGGUUGACCCUGCAAAUCCAUUAUAAUAAAAUAAGAGCAUAUAAAAAUGCAAAAACCUCGACAUAAACAAGAACAUCAUCCCCACCUUGAUAUAUGCAUUCCAUACAUGUGGAGGGGCAACUACCAAUUUCCUUGUAUCAUCCCAACUAAACCCGUUUUGUUCGAGAAGAUUCUUCACAUCAUUAUACUGCUUCCACAAAUUGGUAGAAUGACUUUUCAAAGUGUCCCUAUCGUAUUUACACCCAAAUUUCGCAUUGAAAAUAGAUAACAUAUCGGUCCAAGCUUGUUUAUUAAAUGUAUGGCCUAAUCUAUUACCCCUAUGCAUUUGAUCUAACAUAAGAUCAAUGAAAAACCGUUCCAUUGUCGGCGUCCAAUUUGUUCUUGUUCAAUCACUGCUACUAGGUGCAUUGCUCCCCAUUCUCCCCCCUACUAAUACAAAAAAGCUUCAUUAAUUUCUUAAUUUAGAAUUACAGUACCUUAAAAAGUUGAAAUUUAAGCGACAACUUACAAGCCCAUAAAAUUCAAAGCUAAUAUAAGCUCAAAUGAAAUAAAAAUUGAAAAGAUAAAAAAAAGCUAGUAAAUUUUUUGUUCAAAAAGAUAUCUGCAAAAAGGGCAUUAAUAAUUGUUUAGUUUAAGGUUUCUACUACCUAAGAGCUUCAAGCAGACAUAUUCUAUCUAAAUUAAGUUGAGAUAACUUUAAAUUAGCUCUAACAUCUAAAAUUGAAAACUUUAUAACUUUUUUUUUUGUCUUUUCCAGCAUUAUCCCACUAGUGAUACGAAAAAAUAAGCGAAACUAUUAGUAAAAAAUAAGCAAAAAAAAAAAUUGAACCUUGGUACCUUUGGGUUUUUUGUCAGAGAUUUCGCGUACGAAAAUUUUAUUUCAAUUUCCGGGAAAUUUGAUCAGGAGUGUGUUUUGCGGGUGCUUUAGAUUCCAACCAAAAAGAUCAUGAAAGAAUGGGUGCUUUUGAUUGGAAGCUUGAAGGAGAAACUACAGCCUGUUUGGUUGCUGAGAAAAUGGGUAGUUAACAGGCAAGAAAGUUCUCAGAAGUGGGCUCAAAAAGCACUUCAAUUGGACCCUUUCAGCCCAAAAACCUGAAGAUUGGACCCAAGGAUCCAACACUUUAUUUAUAAAGAAACUAUUUAAUCAGAUGUGUUUCGACAUAUUUAAAUUCACAUGCCAAUCGAAUUAAGACUCAAUCACAAUAGUUUAGAAACUUAAGAUUUUGAAUAUCCAUAUGUUUGUAUAUUUUAUUAUGUUAUAAAUGUGUUAAAAUAUUUUGACUUAUACAAUUUUUGAUAAUUUAAUAAUUUCUAUUAUAUAAUUUUUAGAUUAUUUGUAAUUUCAGAUCUUAUGUUGUGUGAUUUUUAUAUGAUAAGAAAGUUUAGAAAUACGGAGAGCAAUUCCUUUUCAGAAUUAAUCAUUUUGAUUACAUUUCCAAAAAAAAGUGAAAGGGCCAAAACACAUAGAGAUGGCCUUUAUUACAAUACACAUUUACAUACAUAGAUCAAUACAUACACAUAUAUGUGUAUGUAUAGCUCUAAUUAUUCCGUUUAUCACAUUGGGGUAGUGGAAACUUAAACCAAGCAAAAGUGACCCUUACUGGGAAGCUUGCACUUUUGUU